This 468-nucleotide ribosomal RNA is filed under the name uncultured bacterium. RNAcentral's name for it is "partial 16S ribosomal RNA". It matches the Rfam family "Bacterial small subunit ribosomal RNA", at positions 28 to 507 of the family's 1533-position model. The record is from RNAcentral.
GACGAACGCUGGCGGCGUGCUUAACACAUGCAAGUCGAACGGACAGGCCCUGCUUUUGUUGGGUGCUCGAGUGGCGAACGGGUGAGUAACACGUGAGUAACCUGCCCUUGACUUUGGGAUAACUUCAGGGGACUGGGGCUCAUACCGGAUAGGAGCUCCUGCUGCAUGGUGGGGGUUGGUAAGAUUCGGCGGUGGGGGCUGGACUCGCGGGUUAUCAGCUUGUUUGUCGGGUAGUGGCUUACCAAGUCUUUGACGGGUAGCCCGCCUGAGAGCGUGACCGGCGACCUUGGGACUGCGAGAGGCCCCAGACUCCUACGGGAGGCAGCAGGCGGGAACAUGACACAGUGGGCGGAAGCCUGAUGCAGCAACGCCGCGUGCGGGAUGACGGCCUUCGGGGUGUGAACCGCUUUCGCCGGUGACGAAGCGUUAGUGACGGUAACGGGUAAAGAAGCACCGGCUAACUACGUG